UCAGGGAGAAGUCUCUUCGGGGAUGAUUAAACCGGCGCACGGGUGAGUAACACGUGAGUGACCUGCCUUUUAGACUGGAACAACUUACCGAAAGGUGAGCUAAUGCCGGAUGAGUUAUAUAAGUGCAUGUUUAUAUAGGAAAAGUUGGGGAGACCUGACGCUGAAAGAUGGACUCGCGUCCCAUUAGCUAGUUGGUAGGGUAAUGGCCUACCAAGGCGACGAUGGGUAGCCGGCCUGAGAGGGUGGCCGGCCACACUGGGACUGAGACACGGCCCAGACUCCUACGGGAGGCAGCAGUGGGGAAUUUUGCGCAAUGCUCGUAAGAGUGACGCAGCGACGCCGCGUGAAUGACGAAGGCCUUCGGGUCGUAAAGUUCUUUCGACAGGGAAGAAAAUGCCUAUAAGUAACUGUGUAUGUAUUGACGGUACCUGUAUAAGCAGCCCCGGCUAACUCCGUGCCAGCAGCCGCGGUAAUACGGAGGGGGCGAGCGUUGUUCGGAGUGACUGGGCGUAAAGAGCACGUAGGCGGUGUUGUAAGUCAUUAGUCAAAGACUAGAGCUCAACUUUAGUAAGGCUAGUGAUACUAUAAUACUAGAGUAUCAGAGAGGAUUGCAGAAUUCCUGGUGUAGCGGUGAAAUGCGUAGAUAUCAGGAGGAAUACCGUUAGCGAAGGCGGCAAUCUGGCUGGAAACUGACGCUGAGGUGCGAAAGCGUGGGUAGCAAACA
Molecule: ribosomal RNA, 724 nt
Filed under: uncultured bacterium
Lineage: Bacteria
Description: bacterial SSU rRNA
Rfam family: Bacterial small subunit ribosomal RNA
Source: RNAcentral